GGUCCCGUAGCUCAGUUGGAUAGAGCAACAGCCUUCUAAGCUGUGGGUCGUGGGUUCGAAUCCCGCCGGGAUCA
This 74-nucleotide transfer RNA is filed under the name Alistipes sp. RNAcentral's name for it is "tRNA-Arg". It matches the Rfam family "tRNA". Rfam says of the family: Transfer RNA (tRNA) molecules are approximately 80 nucleotides in length. Their secondary structure includes four short double-helical elements and three loops (D, anti-codon, and T loops). Lineage: Bacteria; Pseudomonadati; Bacteroidota; Bacteroidia; Bacteroidales; Rikenellaceae. RNAcentral also lists the same sequence under 2 other names. The record is from RNAcentral.